AGAGUUCCUUAAUGAGGAGUUGGGAGAGGAAGGAUCCUCAUUAUUCCCUCUUCGCUACCUCCUCUCUACAACCCCAUUCCAAAGCGACUGACCUUCAACAGAAUGUAUUUCUAUAAAGAUAAAAACAACGAAACUCCCAAGACGUCUAUAUUUGGAAUAUACAGGGAAAACUAGGAAUUUAAUAGCUGAGUUCACGUCCUGCCAACAAAACUUAGAAGGAAUCAACAAACUUCAAGUUCAGGCGCAUAUGUGGUACCCUGUGGCCUAGCGAGAAGAUCGCAGAUGACAUGGGAGGCCUUCAUCUUCUGCAUCUGUCCGACCUUUUCAGCUCCUCUUCUGGUCACUCUGUCAAGGGGGCCUGGAACUCCUGAGAAGUGAAAGGACCAGCCCUAUCUCAGAUGGUGCGGGUUUCUUCGCCCUGACCUCUGCCAUGUUUGCUUGGAGCCCCAGAGCUCAUCCUUCAAGGCCUUUUUAAAAAUAGCACAGCCUCUGUCAAGCCUUCUUGAAAAAUUAAAUUUUUUAUUGUAAAAACUUUCAAACAUAUAAAGAAUGUGAAAGAAUAGGCAAUUAUCUGUAUACUCAUCACCCACAUUCAAUAAUUAACAUUUUGCCGUCUUAGCCUCAUCUACCUAUUUCUACUGAAUCAUAUGAAACUCACUUGCAGACAUUGUGAUAUAGAACACCAAAAUCCAUAAACAUGUGUCGCCUAAA
Homo sapiens (human) is the source of this 711-nucleotide long non-coding RNA. The record is from Ensembl. NCBI's taxonomy places the organism in Eukaryota, Metazoa, Chordata, Mammalia, Primates, Hominidae.